UACAGAGGGGGCAAGCGUUGUUCGGAAUUACUGGGCGUAAAGGGCGCGUAGGCGGCCUUCUAAGUCGAACGUGAAAUCCCCGGGCUCAACCCGGGAACUGCGUCCGAUACUGGAAGGCUUGAAUCCGGGAGAGGGAUGCGGAAUUCCAGGUGUAGCGGUGAAAUGCGUAGAUAUCAGGAGGAACACCGAUGGCGAAGGCAGGUCUCUGGGCUGACACUGACGCUCAUGCACGAAAGCGUGGGGAGCAAACAGG
This 253-nucleotide ribosomal RNA is filed under the name uncultured bacterium. Its description in RNAcentral is "partial 16S ribosomal RNA". It matches the Rfam family "Bacterial small subunit ribosomal RNA", at positions 524 to 776 of the family's 1533-position model. The record is from RNAcentral.